This 244-nucleotide ribosomal RNA is filed under the name uncultured bacterium. RNAcentral's name for it is "partial 16S ribosomal RNA". It matches the Rfam family "Bacterial small subunit ribosomal RNA", at positions 89 to 334 of the family's 1533-position model. The record is from RNAcentral.
UGGCGACCGGCGCACGGGUGCGUAACGCGUAUGCAACCUACCCAUAACAGGGGGAUAACACUGAGAAAUUGGUACUAAUACCCCAUAACAUCAGGACCGGCAUCGGUUCUGGUUGAAAACUCCGGUGGUUAUGGAUGGGCAUGCGUUGUAUUAGCUGGUUGGUGAGGUAACGGCUCACCAGGGCAACGAUACAUAGGGGGACUGAGAGGUUAACCCCCCACAUUGGUACUGAGACACGGACCAA